CCUAUGUCGUCUCGGUGCUACAAGGAUGAGAAGCAUUCACAGACCUGAUCCGAUCCCCUAGGGGAACCGAGGACAACUUUUAUUGCCUAUUCUCUCUGAGUACUAGCACCGAGAUCGCAUUUCUGUGAGACAUUCUAACC
Molecule: small RNA, 140 nt
Filed under: Malassezia sympodialis ATCC 42132
Lineage: Eukaryota; Fungi; Basidiomycota; Malasseziomycetes; Malasseziales; Malasseziaceae
Rfam family: Small nucleolar RNA snR56 (bases 19-101)
Source: RNAcentral